RNAcentral lists this transfer RNA (82 nucleotides) under Actinomadura viridilutea. Its description in RNAcentral is "tRNA-Tyr". It matches the Rfam family "tRNA". Rfam says of the family: Transfer RNA (tRNA) molecules are approximately 80 nucleotides in length. Their secondary structure includes four short double-helical elements and three loops (D, anti-codon, and T loops). Further hydrogen bonds mediate the characteristic L-shaped molecular structure. tRNAs have two regions of fundamental functional importance: the anti-codon, which is responsible for specific mRNA codon recognition, and the 3' end, to which the tRNAs corresponding amino acid is attached (by aminoacyl-tRNA synthetases). tRNAs cope with the degeneracy of the genetic code in two manners: having more than one tRNA (with a specific anti-codon) for a particular amino acid; and 'wobble' base-pairing, i.e. permitting non-standard base-pairing at the 3rd anti-codon position. Lineage: Bacteria; Bacillati; Actinomycetota; Actinomycetes; Streptosporangiales; Thermomonosporaceae. The record is from RNAcentral. RNAcentral also lists the same sequence under 2 other names.
GGCGGGUUGCCCGAGUGGCCAAUGGGAGCGGACUGUAAAUCCGUCGGCUUCGCCUACCCAGGUUCGAAUCCUGGACCCGCCA